Molecule: long non-coding RNA, 1364 nt
Organism: Oxyura jamaicensis (ruddy duck)
Lineage: Eukaryota; Metazoa; Chordata; Aves; Anseriformes; Anatidae
Exons: 2
Source: RefSeq, a predicted model, not a curated record
AUCUUCCUGUCAAAUUACCACCCCCGCACCCACCUGCCCACGUCCUGCAGCUCGGCCAUGUGCUCGGCAGGAGGGCCCGGGGAGCUGCGGCUUGGGGGAGAGGAUGGGGGAUGCUGGUGGGCAAGGGUUGAGUUUUGGUGCUGUUGGCCUGUGGGGCAGAGCUGCGGCCCUCUUGCCAGGAGCAGGGUGGAGGGCAAAUAGCCCUCCUCUCUGCUGUCAGAAUAGCUCCGGGAGGGGGGAGCGGGCUGAGAUGGUGGUCGUGGAGGGGAAUGUGUCAGCUGGGGUGGGGGACGAUGGUUCUCCAGCCACAGGGGUGAUCUCAGUGGGAGCAGUGCUGCUGGAGCUCUUACCUGGCCUCCUGCUCACCAACCCCGGCCCAGGUGGUGAGCUCACAGGCCCGAGCAGUUCUGCCAAGGUGAUGGAUGAGCACCCAUUGCCCCCUAGCCUUCCCCCCCCAGCCCCACUGCUUGCAUUUGCUGCUGCCUCCUCCCCCAAAAUCAGGGCUGCCUGCCCUGGGGAGGUGGAGGCUGGAGGCUGCCAGCGCCGUGUUGUGGGGUCAGGCGUGGCAGAGGAUGUUCUCUACCCUCCCCCCGCCAAGGUGCUGCCUGCUCAUAUAUGGGAAAGAGAGGGGAGCCUGGAAAGUGUGACUCAAGGCUCCAGUCCUGCCUCUUCUUGCACUGUUUGUGCCUGUUCUCAGGGGCAUCCCAGCUGGCGCUUGGAGCCUCCUCUCCCCCGGCUCCACGCUGCACGAGCACACCGAGGCCCAAACAAUGCCUUUAUAAGGACAGAGACUGUCUCCCUGUGCUGCCUUAGCUUUUCCAUCACCCUUGGGACUGGGCCCACGGUUGGGCUGGCGGUAACAGGGGCCUCCUGUGACCAGGCGGGUGCUUUUCCAAGGCCCUGAGCGUGGCCCCCUGGGCUGCAGAAUCACGUGGUGGGGUUGGUGCUAGCCAGGCCCUGGGCUCAGGGCCCACUGCUUCCAUGGCCUUUAGAGUCCCAGCUCUGCAGUGCUAACCAAAGGAGCAAGGCAGAGAAGCAGGUCCCCGACACAGCUGCUGGGCUGGCCUGAAACCCCCCCAGCAUGGCUGCAGCACUUGUGAGGAGCCCGGGAGCUGGGGAGCUCUCCUUGAGCCCACUGCUCCUUUCACCCAUACCUCCCUGCCCAAGGGCUGGCACCAGCAGUGGUUCUGCUCUGGGCUGUGCCUGUGCCAGACCGGACUCCCUCACUCCAGGUACUGUGCUGGGGGUACUGAUGCAUGCAGCAAAUCCAGGUGGGACUCUGCAGCUUGGCACAGGGGGGAGAGGACUGGGGGAAGGGUGGUGCUGCAGAGGGUGUCAGCCAGGGGUGUCCGAUCCUCUCAGUA